GAUGAACGCUAGCGGGAGGCUUAACACAUGCAAGUCGAGGGGCAGCACGAGUCCGCCGCAAGGCGGAUUUGGUGGCGACCGGCGCACGGGUGAGUAACACGUAUGCAACCUACCCUGUACUGGGGGAUAACCCGGAGAAAUUCGGACUAAUAUCCCAUUAUGAUAUUGAAGGGCAUCCUUUAAUAUUUAAAGCUCAGGCGGUACGGGAUGGGCAUGCGCAACAUUAGCUAGUUGGCAGGGUAACGGCCUACCAAGGCUACGAUGUUUAGGGGACCUGAGAGGGUGAUCCCCCACACUGGUACUGAGACACGGACCAGACUCCUACGGGUGGCAG
RNAcentral lists this ribosomal RNA (334 nucleotides) under uncultured Bacteroidota bacterium. Its description in RNAcentral is "bacterial SSU rRNA". It matches the Rfam family "Bacterial small subunit ribosomal RNA", at positions 28 to 351 of the family's 1533-position model. Lineage: Bacteria; Pseudomonadati; Bacteroidota. The record is from RNAcentral.